UGCGAGUCGAACGGUGAAGCCCUUCGGGGUGGAUCAGUGGCGAACGGGUGAGUAACACGUGGGCAAUCUGCCCUGCACUCUGGGACAAGCCCUGGAAACGGGGUCUAAUACCGGAUACGACCUUCCUCUGCAUGGGGGUUGGUGGAAAGCUCCGGCGGUGCAGGAUGAGCCCGCGGCCUAUCAGCUUGUUGGUGGGGUAAUGGCCUACCAAGGCGACGACGGGUAGCCGGCCUGAGAGGGCGACCGGCCACACUGGGACUGAGACACGGCCCAGACACAUACGGGAGGCAGCAGUGGGGAAUAUUGCACAAUGGGCGAAAGCCUGAUGCAGCGACGCCGCGUGAGGGAUGACGGCCUUCGGGUUGUAAACCUCUUUCAGCAGGGAAGAAGCGCAAGUGACGGUACCUGCAGAAGAAGCACCGGCUAACUACGUGCCAGCAGCCGCGGUAAUACGUAGGGUGCGAGCGUUGUCCGGAAUUAUUGGGCGUAAAGAGCUCGUAGGCGGCCUGUCGCGUCGGAUGUGAAAGCCCGGGGCUUAACCCCGGGUCUGCAUUCGAUACGGGCAGGCUAGAGUGUGGUAGGGGAGAUCGGAAUUCCUGGUGUAGCGGUGAAAUGCGCAGAUAUCAGGAGGAACACCGGUGGCGAAGGCGGAUCUCUGGGCCAUUACUGACGCUGAGGAGCGAAAGCGUGGGGAGCGAACAGGAUUAGAUACCCUGGUAGUCCACGCCGUAAACGUUGGGAACUAGGUGUUGGCGACAUUCCACGUCGUCGGUGCCGCAGCUAACGCAUUAAGUUCCCCGCCUGGGGAGUACGGCCGCAAGGCUAAAACUCAAAGGAAUUGACGGGGGCCCGCACAAGCAGCGGAGCAUGUGGCUUAAUUCGACGCAACGCGAAGAACCUUACCAAGGCUUGACAUAUGCCGGAAACAUCCAAAAGAUGGGUGCCCCCCUUGUGGUCCGGUAUACAGGUGGGUGCAUGGGUUG
This 983-nucleotide ribosomal RNA is filed under the name Streptomyces sp. RNAcentral's name for it is "bacterial SSU rRNA". It matches the Rfam family "Bacterial small subunit ribosomal RNA", at positions 56 to 1052 of the family's 1533-position model. The record is from RNAcentral. Lineage: Bacteria; Bacillati; Actinomycetota; Actinomycetes; Kitasatosporales; Streptomycetaceae.